UAGUGAGGGAGGGGGUGACUAGUGACAGAAUGAGGGAGGGGGUGACUAGUGACAGAGGGAGAUGGUGAUUAGUGACAGAGUGAGGGAGGUGGUGACUGUCACUAGUCAACCCAUCCUUCCCUCUCUCACUAGUCACCCCCUCCUUCCCUCUGUCACUGUGUCACCCCAUCCCUCCCUCUGUCACUGUGUCACCCCAUCCCUCCCUCUGUCACUGUGUCACCCCAUCCCUCCCUCUGUCACUAGUCACCCUCUCCCUCAC
Molecule: non-coding RNA, 259 nt
Organism: Pelobates cultripes (western spadefoot toad)
Lineage: Eukaryota; Metazoa; Chordata; Amphibia; Anura; Pelobatidae
Source: the annotation of a GenBank genome assembly